CAACAGUGAACAUGGGAUCAAAUUACAAACUAAUUCCUGAGAUAACAACAUAGGAAAUCGGAUGGACAUGUAAAGUGGUCGUUAUAGAGAAACAGCUUUUCGAACAUCACAAAAAGGGAAUGGAAUGUAUCAGCACCUUUGGUUGAUGGAUACUGCUGUAAGUCAUUUACAUAAAUUUUCUUCUGCGCUUGUCCAUAAUCCCACAUGAAGGUGCACAUUUCAAAAUCAUAAACUCUUCCAAUAUAAUUGUGACUACUUUAUUUUAAGUAUUUCGGGUUUGAUGUGUCAUAGAUUUCUUUCUUUUCUCAUCUACGACAUGUGUCAUGUGUCUAUGAGACAAUAAACAACUAAUACUUGAUUUUUUUCUUUCUUGAAUUUGAAUUGAAUGCUUUCAUACAAAUUAUUACUCUUGUUUUUCUUGUUUAUGAAAGAACAUACUCAUUGUUGUGCUUGCAUGAAAGAGUUACAAGAUUUUGUUGUUGUCUAACAAUGUGGAAAUAUUAUUUCAACUUUAAUUGAUUUCUUUUUUUAAAAUCCUUGAGAUUUUCCUCGUAGUUGUACUCAUCUUAGCUGAAUUUUUUAUUUGAAGUUGAAAUAAUGAAUUUUAAACUAUGUGUUCAGAAUUACCAUACAUCAGACUGCAUAUUGGUCGAACUUAUCUGCUUUAUUUUACAUAGUUGAAUCUGAAAAAACUUUACUUUACAUAUUAAUAAUGUAUAUAGGAAAACAAAGUCCAAGCAACUAUAUUUGCUCAAAAUAUUAAAGCUGUGGAAAACACAUUGGUGCCAUCAAAGACAUACUUGAUCUCAAAUGCAUAUGUGAAACAAAUAGAUGAAAGAUCUAGAUCAACUUGUGGAAACACACAAUGGACAAUUAGUGGCUUAACCCGAAUACAAGAAAUUAAUGAAGACAACAUCCCUCUCAUGGAAUCAUGUUUCCAGUUUACAACAUUUGAUGAGCUUUACAAGUACAUAGACAUGUAUAUUGAAAUAGGUAAUUCAAAGUAUUACCACUUUCAUGAUAAUGCAUAUCACAAAAAAAUUUAUGAACUUUUAUUGGCAGCAUUUGUAGGUAUUGUUGUUGAUGUUCAUCCAAAACAAAAAUUUCCAAACAGAAUUGCAGAUUCAGCUAUCCAAGAUAUUGUUCUUGUCAAUGAAAGUUAAGUAUACCUCAAGUUAAAACUUUCAAAAAGAGACCAAUGUUUCCUAAUUAUCAUAAUUCUAAUUCAAUUUUUGUAACUUCCUGUGCAGGUUGCAAGCAAUUAUAUUAACUAUCUGGGACAAUUUUAUAGACCAUGAAGGAGCUGAGAUCACCGACUGCUUUAUGAAAAAACCAAUGAUUGUUGGUAACCAUUUAAAGGUGACGUCAUUCAAAGGUAGAUAAAGUCAGAAUUUAAUUGUCACUUUGAACAAACCAUGUGCUAAAAUUAAAUUUUAAUGUGCCCACACAACUGUAAUAUAUUCAAUAGGAAUAUCUUUGUCCACAAAAGUAAACAGUUCAAUCUUCGUAAACCCGAAGUUCCAAAAACUUGCUAAAUUGAGACAAUGGUUAGUACACAUGUUUUGUUAUUCAUAAAAAUAUUUUAAUUCCAACACUUAUUUCCCAUGACAUUAUUGUAUUUAAUUGUUUACAUUUUUUUUGCACUAAUCCUUACAUACUAUUUAAGGAGUGAAAGAAACGAAGAAAUGCUGACUGAGAUGAUAACUCAAAAGACAUAUGAUUUAUCAAAGACUCCCGCUAUUCCACCUCCUCCGAAGAAUCGAAUCAUCAGCACCAGAGAUAUUUCAAAAAAUACAUAAACUGUAUGUUAAAAAAUAAAAUAAAAAUUUUACUAUUCAUUACUUUAGAAUUCCGAUCUGGAAAAUGUAAAAUAUUUUCAUUAAAAAAGUAUCCUAACUUUCCUUUUUCUUGUAACUACUUCAGCGUAAACCAUUUUGGAUAACUGGUAAGAUAGAAAUGAGCAUAAGAAGUCAGUCUCUUCAGUAUAUGGCAUGCGACACUUGUGGUUGGAUGUCUUUUGCUCGAUUGAAUGAAAUGUAUUUUUGCAAUUGUUGCAAGUACAUGCUUGCAAGAGCAGUUCCAAGGUAAUAACCGUAAAUACUAUGUGCACAAAAAUAUUCAUUUAUUAUAUUGUUUAAUUUCAAAUUUUUGCCUAAAAUUAUUGUGAAAUUUU
This 2173-nucleotide long non-coding RNA is filed under the name Olea europaea subsp. europaea. The record is from RNAcentral. Lineage: Eukaryota; Viridiplantae; Streptophyta; Magnoliopsida; Lamiales; Oleaceae.